UGGGGAAUAUCGGACAAUGGGCGCAAGCCUGAUCCAGCCAUGCCGCGUGUGUGAAGAAGGCCUUUUGGUUGUAAAGCACUUUAAGCGAGGAGGAGGCUACUUGGAUUAAUACUCUAGGAUAGUGGACGUUACUCGCAGAAUAAGCACCGGCUAACUCUGUGCCAGCAGCCGCGGUAAUACAGAGGGUGCGAGCGUUAAUCGGAUUUACUGGGCGUAAAGCGUGCGUAGGCGGCUUCUUAAGUCGGAUGUGAAAUCCCUGAGCUUAACUUAGGAAUUGCAUUCGAUACUGGGAAGCUAGAGUAUGGGAGAGGAUGGUAGAAUUCCAGGUGUAGCGGUGAAAUGCGUAGAGAUCUGGAGGAAUACCGAUGGCGAAGGCAGCCAUCUGGCCUAAUACUGACGCUGAGGUACGAAAGCAUGGGGAGCAAACAGG
Molecule: ribosomal RNA, 430 nt
Filed under: bacterium
Lineage: Bacteria
Description: partial 16S ribosomal RNA
Rfam family: Bacterial small subunit ribosomal RNA
Source: RNAcentral